CAAACAGGAUUAGAUACCCUGGUAGUCCACGCCGUAAACGAUGUCGACUUGGAGGUUGUUCCCUUGAGGAGUGGCUUCCGGAGCUAACGCGUUAAGUCGACCGCCUGGGGAGUACGGCCGCAAGGUUAAAACUCAAAUGAAUUGACGGGGGCCCGCACAAGCGGUGGAGCAUGUGGUUUAAUUCGAUGCAACGCGAAGAACCUUACCUACUCUUGACAUCCAGAGAACUUAGCAGAGAUGCUUUGGUGCCUUCGGGAACUCUGAGACAGGUGCUGCAUGGCUGUCGUCAGCUCGUGUUGUGAAAUGUUGGGUUAAGUCCCGCAACGAGCGCAACCCUUAUCCUUUGUUGCCAGCGAUUCGGUCGGGAACUCAAAGGAGACUGCCGGUGAUAAACCGGAGGAAGGUGGGGAUGACGUCAAGUCAUCAUGGCCCUUACGAGUAGGGCUACACACGUGCUACAAUGGCGCAUACAAAGAGAAGCGACCUCGCGAGAGCAAGCGGACCUCACAAAGUGCGUCGUAGUCCGGAUCGGAGUCUGCAACUCGACUCCGUGAAGUCGGAAUCGCUAGUAAUCGUGGAUCAGAAUGCCACGGUGAAUACGUUCCCGGGCCUUGUACACACCGCCCGUCACACCAUGGGAGUGGGUUGCAAAAGAAGUAGGU
RNAcentral lists this ribosomal RNA (662 nucleotides) under Pantoea sp. RNAcentral's name for it is "bacterial SSU rRNA". It matches the Rfam family "Bacterial small subunit ribosomal RNA", at positions 769 to 1431 of the family's 1533-position model. Lineage: Bacteria; Pseudomonadati; Pseudomonadota; Gammaproteobacteria; Enterobacterales; Erwiniaceae. The record is from RNAcentral.